RNAcentral lists this ribosomal RNA (253 nucleotides) under uncultured bacterium. RNAcentral describes it as "partial 16S ribosomal RNA". It matches the Rfam family "Bacterial small subunit ribosomal RNA", at positions 524 to 776 of the family's 1533-position model. The record is from RNAcentral.
UACAGAGGUCCCAAGCGUUGUUCGGAAUCACUGGGCGUAAAGGGUGCGUAGGCUGCGCCGCAAGUCAGAUGUGAAAGCCCCGGGCUCAACCCGGGAAUUGCAUCCGAUACUGCGGUGCUCGAGAACUGAAGGGGAGUCUAGAAUUUUCGGUGUAGCAGUGAAAUGCGUAGAUAUCGAAAGGAAUACCAAAGGCGAAGGCAGGACUCUGGGCAGUUUCUGACGCUGAUGCACGAAGGCCAGGGUAGCGAACGGG